RNAcentral lists this ribosomal RNA (1755 nucleotides) under bacterium. RNAcentral's name for it is "partial 23S ribosomal RNA". It matches the Rfam family "Bacterial large subunit ribosomal RNA", at positions 1122 to 2915 of the family's 2925-position model. The record is from RNAcentral.
UUUAAAGAUAGCGUAACAGCUCACUGGUCAAGUUUCCUUGCGCCGAAAACAUACCGGGGCUAAAUGACGUACCGAAGCUGAGGGUUUGAUCCUUUGAGGAUCAAGCGGUAGCGGAGCAUUUCCAAUGCGCUGAAGUCGUACCGUGAGGUGCGGUGGAGCGUUGGGAAGAGAGAAUGUUGGUAUGAGUAGCAGAAAGGCAUGUGAGAACCAUGCCCACCGGAAGUCCAAGGUUUCCACAGCAACGAAAAUCGACUGUGGGUUAGUCAGGAGCUAAGGCGAGGCAGAAAUGCGUAGUCGAUGCACAGCUGGUCAAUAUUCCAGCACCACGAAACGGUUCCGAUGGAGUGACGUUUGUUGAACCUUCCCGCGUCCUAUGGCUAUGACGUUGGGGAAUGCUCGUGGUUUGGUAGGGAAAUCCGCCAAGCAAUACACGGGUGUUCAUCUCAAGUGCUGAGCAAUCAGCAUAAGGGGAAAGCAACACGAACCAAGAAAAGCCUCUAGGGUUAACACUAUGCUGCCCGUACCGUAAACCGACACAGGUGGGUGAGUGCGAAAACACUCAGGCGUACGAGAGAAGUAUCCUUCAGGAACUAGGCAAAACAAUAGCCGUAACUUCGGGAUAAGGCUUGGUUUCUCCCGGGAGGGAGAGACCCGCAGCGUCAGAUGUCAAGCGACUGUUUAUCAAAAACACAGGCCUCUGCUAAAUCGCAAGAUGAAGUAUAGGGGCUGAUGCCUGGCCAGUGUCCGAACGUUAAAGGAGGGGGUUAAUCGCAAGAUGAAGCCUCUGACUGAAGCGCGGAUGAACGCCGGCCGUAACUAUAACGGUCCUAAGGUAGCGAAAUUCCUUGUCGGGUGAGUUCCGACCUGCACGAAUGGCAUAACGACUUGACAACUGUCUUAAGGAUACACUCGGCGAAAUUGCGAGGGGAGUGAAGAUGCUCUCUAUGCACAGUUAGACGAAAAGACCCCGUGAAGCUUUACUACUGCUUGCCAUUGGGUUGAUGUUUCACAUGUUCAGAAUAGGUGGGAGCCUUCGGGCACCAGUGAGAUACCACCCUUGUGUCACGUCAAUUCUAACCGGACGCCCUGAAUCGGGUGGCUGGAACAGUGGCUGGUAGGUAGUUUACCUGGGGCGGGUGCCUCCCAAAAAGUAACGGAGGCGUUUACAAAGGUUGGCUUAGCCCGGAUGGAAAUCGGGCAGGACGUGCAAGCGCACAAGCCAGCUUAACUGCGAGACUGACACGUCAAGCAGAUACGAAAGUAGAAGCUAGUGAUCCGACCGUACGACAUAGGACGGCGGAAGCUCAACGGAUAAAAGCUACUCCGGGGAUAACAGGCUAGUCUGGUCCAAGCGUCCACAGCGACGACCAGGUUCGGCACCUCGAUGUCGGCUCAUCGCAUCCUGGGGGUGAAGAAGCUCCCAAGGGUUUGGCUGUUCGCCAAUUAAAGCGGUACGCGAGCUGGGUUCAGAACGUCGUGAGACAGUUCGGUCUCCUAUCUACUGUGCACGUCGAAAACUGAUGAGACUCGUUCCUAGUACGAGAGGACCGGAACGAAUGUACCUCUGGUGUACCAGUUGUCCUGCCAAGGGCACCGCUGGGUAGCUAAGUACAGCUCGGAUAAGCGCUGAAAGCAUCUAAGCGCGAAGCCGACUCAAAGAUGAGUUUUCAUAGACACCUCAGAGACUAUGAGGUUGAUAGGUGGCAGGUGUAAGCGUGGCAACACGUUCAGCCGAGCCAUACUAAUAUGUCAUUC